Molecule: ribosomal RNA, 253 nt
Filed under: uncultured bacterium
Lineage: Bacteria
Description: partial 16S ribosomal RNA
Rfam family: Bacterial small subunit ribosomal RNA
Source: RNAcentral
UACGGAGGAUGCAAGCGUUAUCCGGAAUGAUUGGGCGUAAAGCGUCCGCAGGUGGCUGUGUAAGUCUGCUGUUAAAGAGUGAGGCUCAACCUCAUAAAAGCAGUGGAAACUACACGGCUAGAGUGCGUUCGGGGCAGAGGGAAUUCCUGGUGUAGCGGUGAAAUGCGUAGAGAUCGGAAAGAACACCAACGGCGAAGGCACUCUGCUGGGCCGACACUGACACUGAGAGACGAAAGCUAGGGGAGCGAAUGGG